GGGGCCCUGUGGGUUCCUGGGAUUGGGGCUCCCCAGCUCAGUGCGAGCUUCCAGAGAGCUGGGCAGUCUGCCCAGCACAGAAGGUCGGGUCCACGCCAGUGCUGGAGGAUGAGAAAUCAGCAUCCAGCAACCAGGAAAAGACAAAAAGAAACAUGAAGGGGGGAGGGUCACACGAGCCUUCCCCUUCAGCAGAGGAGCUAUGGACAGUUGAUGACUGCCAGGAGAGGGAAAGUCGGUUUUCUUCAGGAGUGUGGUCCUUGGUGUGUUGACUAUCCAGGGGAUGAUUCUACUCCAUGUGUACAUGGGCAGCACUGACUGGACUCGAACAUCCCGAGUACUUCAGAAGGAGGAAUAGGAGCACACACCUAUAAUCUCAGGACUCAGCCUGAGGCCCAAGGUUUGCAAGUUGAAGGACAGCCUGUGCUACAUAGAGGGUGCUGGCCAGCCUGGGCUACAAAGUGAAACUGCUUCUGCUCUCUACCUUGAAAACAAAAGAGCAGAAAGAAAAGAGAAGAGGGAGGAAUGGAGAAGGACAGAGGUGGGGGAGAGGAGGGGGAGGGGAGAGAGCAGCAGUGAGACACACAGGAAAGACAGAGGAGCACAGGGCUUCCCUCAAGCUCCAUCAUGGCCGCCCUUUCCAAAGGUCACCAUGUUCUUCCUUCUGUGCGUUUGUUGUCUACUUCUAGUUAGUUUUUACUUCUAUUGUGUAGUAGUGCUGGUACCUAACCCAGGGCUCCAGGC
Peromyscus maniculatus bairdii (prairie deer mouse) is the source of this 741-nucleotide non-coding RNA. The record is from RefSeq and is a predicted model, not a curated record. NCBI's taxonomy places the organism in Eukaryota, Metazoa, Chordata, Mammalia, Rodentia, Cricetidae.